This 72-nucleotide transfer RNA is filed under the name Schistosoma japonicum. RNAcentral describes it as "tRNA-OTHER". Lineage: Eukaryota; Metazoa; Platyhelminthes; Trematoda; Strigeidida; Schistosomatidae. The record is from RNAcentral.
GACUAAGUGGUCCAGUGGUAAAGCGCUCGUCGUGGAGCCAGAGGGUCACGGGUUCGAUCCCCAACGCGGUCG